This 253-nucleotide ribosomal RNA is filed under the name uncultured bacterium. Its description in RNAcentral is "partial 16S ribosomal RNA". It matches the Rfam family "Bacterial small subunit ribosomal RNA", at positions 524 to 776 of the family's 1533-position model. The record is from RNAcentral.
UACGUAGGGUGCGAGCGUUAAUCGGAAUUACUGGGCGUAAAGCGUGCGCAGGCGGUUCUAUAAGACAGAUGUGAAAUCCCCGGGCUCAACCUGGGACCUGCAUUUGUGACUGUAUAGCUAGAGUACGGUAGAGGGGGAUGGAAUUCCGCGUGUAGCAGUGAAAUGCGUAGAUAUGCGGAGGAACACCGAUGGCGAAGGCAAUCCCCUGGACCUGUACUGACGCUCAUGCACGAAAGCGUGGGGAGCAAACAGG